This 377-nucleotide ribosomal RNA is filed under the name Alsophis sibonius (Antilles racer). Its description in RNAcentral is "partial 16S ribosomal RNA". It matches the Rfam family "Bacterial large subunit ribosomal RNA", at positions 1970 to 2557 of the family's 2925-position model. Lineage: Eukaryota; Metazoa; Chordata; Lepidosauria; Squamata; Dipsadidae. The record is from RNAcentral.
UGUCUAUUAAUUGUAGACCUGUAUGAAAGGCAAAAUGAGGGUUUAACUGUCUCUUAUAAUAAAUCAAUUAAACUGAUCUCCCAGUAAAAAAGCUGGGAUACCCACAUAAGACCAGAAGACCCUGUGAAGCUUAAACUAAACUAUUAAACCCUAUAAUAAAUACUUUCGGUUGGGGCGACCUUGGAAAAAAAAAGAACUUCCAAACACAAUGAUUAUAACUCAUACUACACCCGGGCCAACAAGCCUACCAAAAGACCCAGCAUAGCUGAUAAUUGAACCAAGUUACUCCAGGGAUAACAGCGCUAUCUUCUUCAAGAGUCCAUAUCAAAAAGAAGGUUUACGACCUCGAUGUUGGAUCAGGACAUCCUAAUGGUGCA